Molecule: ribosomal RNA, 468 nt
Filed under: uncultured bacterium
Lineage: Bacteria
Description: partial 16S ribosomal RNA
Rfam family: Bacterial small subunit ribosomal RNA
Source: RNAcentral
GACGAACGCUGGCGGCGUGCUUAACACAUGCAAGUCGAACGGAAAGGCCCUGCUUUUGUGGGGUGCUCGAGUGGCGAACGGGUGAGUAACACGUGAGUAACCUGCCCUUGACUUUGUGAUAACUUCAGGAAACUGGGGCUAAUACCGGAUAGGAGCUCCUGCUGCAUGGUGGGGGUUGGAAAGUUUCGGCGGUUGGGGAUGGACUCGCGGCUUAUCAGCUUGUUGGUGGGGUAGUGGCUUACCAAGGCUUUGACGGGUAGCCGGCCUGAGAGGGUGACCGGCCACAUUGGGACUGAGAUACGGACCAGACUCCUACGGGAGGCAGCAGUGGGGAAUAUUGCACAAUGGGCGGAAGCCUGAUGCAGCAACGCCGCGUGCGGGAUGACGGCCAUCGGGUUGUAAACCGCUUUCGCCUGUGACGAAGCGUGAGUGACGGUAAUGGGUAAAGAAGCACCGGCUAACUACGUG